Molecule: ribosomal RNA, 465 nt
Filed under: uncultured bacterium
Lineage: Bacteria
Description: bacterial SSU rRNA
Rfam family: Bacterial small subunit ribosomal RNA
Source: RNAcentral
CCUACGGGGUGCACCAGUGGGGAAUAUUGCACAAUGGGCGCAAGCCUGAUGCAGCCAUGCCGCGUGUGUGAAGAAGGCCUUCGGGUUGUAAAGCACUUUCAGCGGGGAGGAAGGCGGUGAGGUUAAUAACCUCAUCGAUUGACGUUACCCGCAGAAGAAGCACCGGCUAACUCCGUGCCAGCAGCCGCGGUAAUACGGAGGGUGCAAGCGUUAAUCGGAAUUACUGGGCGUAAAGCGCACGCAGGCGGUCUGUCAAGUCGGAUGUGAAAUCCCCGGGCUUAACCUGGGAAUGGCAUCUAAGACUGGUCAGCUAGAGUCUUGUAGAGGGGGGUAGAAUUCCAUGUGUAGCGGUGAAAUGCGUAGAGAUGUGGAGGAAUACCGGUGGCGAAGGCGGCCCCCUGGACAAAGACUGACGCUCAGGUGCGAGAGCGUGGGGAGCAAACAGGAUUAGAUACCCGCGUAGUC